AAAGAUAGAGGAGCGCAAAGCAAGAGUAACCUGUGGAGCGGGGGCUUAGAAGCAGGCAAAAGGGUUAGCGCCGAAGUUUAUCAGCAGCCAUGCUGAUAUGCUGGGCUGUCAGUGAAUAAUUGACGGACUGUCGCUGCAGCAGGCAGCGGAGUGCUAUCU
Molecule: non-coding RNA, 159 nt
Filed under: uncultured Phascolarctobacterium sp.
Lineage: Bacteria; Bacillati; Bacillota; Negativicutes; Acidaminococcales; Acidaminococcaceae
Description: Lysine riboswitch
Rfam family: Lysine riboswitch aptamer
About the family: Riboswitches are metabolite binding domains within certain messenger RNAs that serve as precision sensors for their corresponding targets. Allosteric rearrangement of mRNA structure is mediated by ligand binding, and this results in modulation of gene expression.
Source: RNAcentral